AAACAUGUGUACAAAGGAGUAGGCACUCUUGAAAAUGUUUCUGUAGAAAAAUGCAUAGGAUCGCACUGUUAAUCCAUUAUAUAAUAGUGACACAGAAACGUCCUUUGCAGGUGUCCAAAACACACGAUCACAUUCAGCAAAAGAAAGCAUAAAAUAUAAGGCUGUCAGUGACUAUUAGCUAUCCCGUUUGCUGGCCAAGUCCAAAGAUGGGUCCUGCUUGCAGCAGUAAAGUCAUGCCCAACCUUUAUAACUGCAGUCUGGGGGUAUGUCAACCAUUGGGUCAUUGUUUUAGCUUGCUUAGCCAUGUAUCACACCUACUGUGCAUUUGAGGUUUACCUGUGUAUCAUACUGAGCUGAGCAUUAAACCCCAUGGGGGGGGUUGGGGGGGGAGCUUUAUCCAAGUUUGAGUUCUUCAUUCCGUGGGUAGGAGGGCAUGGCGUCAUGACCUCCAGUCCGAGGUCACAGAUGUCCAGAUCCAUCCACUCUUCAGCAUCACUGACAAUGUGGAGAUUGCUUGGGCUGUCCUGCUCAUACCAGCUUUUCUUCAGAAGAGACCCUAGGUUCCACAUCUGGGCAGGAUUGAGCCCCAGCAUAAGGCAAUGAUUAAGGAGCUCAGUGGUGUAUUACUGGCACAUUACAAAUGGGCUCAUUAACUUAAUUACUAUCAGAUACACUACAUUUCAAGCAGUAGUUUCAGAACACUCAGGCUAUAUGCACUAAAAUGUAGGAAGUUGCCUUACACAGUAUAAGGUGGCAGUGCACAGGUAGGGCAUCACCGUCAAGAGCACACAGCCACACCCUCAAGCCUGCAAACUGCUCAGACAAGCAACUAACCUUAAUCCAAAAGACACAAGGUCAUAGGCACACUGUCACCUUAUACCAGGCAUGUCCAAAGUCCAUUUUGGGGGCCUAAUCCGGCCCGCCGGUCGGUUCAAUCCGGCCCCCAUAGGCAGUUCCUCCCUGUGGUUCUAAAAAAAGGUCAAUGAUCGGCCCUCAUGCAUGUUCACUUCAUCAAAUCUGGCCCUCUUUGAAAAAAGUUUGGAGACACCCUGCCUUAUACUGAAUCAGCUACACUAACUAGCAGAAGCUUCUCCAAGGUUUCAGGAAAGGGACAUUCCUAGCUGUGCCUGAAGAUGCCAGGGAUUGAACCGAGGACAUUCUGCAUGCAAAGCAAUUCCUCUACCACUGGGCUACAACCCUCCCCCAAGUAGUAUCAAUUUGCCUGGAUUCAUGCCAAAACAUCGAAGGCUAGUAUUUGACCCCAGUAUAUAGUGUUUUCGUUGAAGAGUAGAAUCAAUGCAAAAUUAUACAACGUAAUAGUGACACCUCCCAUCCUUUUCUCACAGCUUCAAGAAAGAAAAAGAUUGCCACACAAUAUCCAAGAGACUAUCGCCAGUCUGUAAUCACUUCCACAUUAACUGAGAAGCUGGAAGAUUGAUGAGGUACUUUAAGGUCAAUUGGUUUCCUUCUUUCUUCCCUUCUUUCUUUUUUUCUUUCUUUUUAAUUGCAGUUACUUUAAUCAGCCUGGUUUGUUUUAAAUAAGAGGCUGUAAGAGAGAUGUGAAUCACAGAAUAUCUCAGUCAAUUUGCUCACUUUUGAAGGCUGACUUUGGGGGGAGAUAAUCCACAGAUGGCUGCGCCAACUGACUGCCAUCAUCACCAACCCUCAGAGUACGAGGCCCACCAGCAACCUUUUCAAAGGGCCUUGACAUGAACACAGCACCUUGAGGUGCAGUAAUGUACAACAGUUAAUCUGAAAUGGAACAAAGCCUCUUCUCAGGCUUGUCUUAAUAAUCUAUUUUUUGUUUGUUAAAAAGAAAUGCAAAUUAGGAUGGGAAGGGAGAUCAGGAGGAGGAGGAAAGAGAAGGUGAAGAGAUGGGAAGUUAAAACAAGUGUUGCUAAAGUGAUGCUCUUCAGAUGUUGCUGGACCAUGAAUCUGAACUUCUGGGACCCACUCAGCAGGCAUUAUAAUUUAUGUUUAAAUUUAUAGUUUUAACUUUUUGUUUUUUUGUUUUUUUAUUUGCAUUCCCUCUUUGUAAACUGCUUAGAGACUACUAUAGUGAAGUGGUUAUAUGAACUGUUCAUCAUCAUCAUCAUCAUCAUCUCCCAUCAUCCCUGACCAGCCUCCCUGAGACUGAUGAGAGUGGGUGUCCAACAACACCUAGAAAGCAACAAGUUAGCCACUUGGGAGGCUUGGGAGAAGAGAGAUGCUUUCAGAUGCUAAGUAAAUGCCUGGAGGGAGAAAGGCAGAUGUUAGGGGCAAAUGAAAUCCAGGGUGCAUCAGCAUGAUAAUCUAUCAUGGACCCAGUGCUGCUCAGGCAUGCAGGUUUUUCACAGCAUCUGCACAAUGUGGUCCACAUCCAAAUACCAUCCCACAUUCUCUUCCCAUUUACGUAAUCCAGAUCUUCCAAUUCAACAACAACAACAACUGUAAUGUUAAUUCACCCCCCUAUAAAUAUUACAUCUGGAUUAUAUGGAAUGGCAUUUUGAUAAGGCUUAUGUUGCAUGGAUGCCACAAUAAACCCUUGUUUGCAGAAAAUGCAGUGUGAAAGCAAUCCCAGAGAAAGGGAGAAAUGAAAGACAUAACUCAGGAAACAGAAGUAUCAAUCCAGAAGGCAAAUAGAACUAGGAAGACUAAUGAGUAUGUGUUAUAUCCAGUGCUUUUUUCUGGGGGAACGCAGGGGUACGCAUACCCCUAAACGUUUUGUGAAUCUAAGUUUGGCCUCAUUGAGGGGCAGUAUUUCAAUAUGAGUGGGAAAAUGAGAGUACCCCUAAACAUUUUUUUUAUAUAUAAAUAAAUUCUACGCAGAAUAGACCCAUUAAUAUUAAUGAGCCUAAAUUAGUCAUGUGCAUUAAUGCCAACAGGUCUACUCUGAGUAGGGUUAACAUUGGAUACAACCUGUUUGUGUAUUUACCUAAGUGUUGUGUCAAAAAAAUUCCCUCAGUGUGUAUGUGUGUUUGUUUUUUACCAUUCUCUAUCAAUGAAUGAAAAAAGAAAUUGCAUCCAAAAAUUACUAAAGGGUGGGGGAGAGAAUGGUGGAUUUAUCAGGGGUUGGAUGCAUGGUUUUAGUUGUACUUGUUUUACUAUGCAACUAAAGCAAGUUCCUUUUUCCCAAUUCCUGUGCUUCCCGAAACUCCAUAGGGCAUAUUUUGGUUGGGCCCUCCGAGAUUUGUAAGAAGACGUUCUACCAUACACUUGGCAGUUGUUCCUUUUUGGGGGAUGGGGGACAACCUUUGUGUGUGUGUGCAUGCGUGUGCAUGCGUGUUUGCUUUCAAAGAAAUCAGAGACUGUAGGGAAGGUUUUAGCAGAGCACUAAUUUAUUUAUUAUAACUAUAUUGCACUUUUCAGUCAAGAUUAAUGAGACUGGUUCCCAGUGAGGAAAGUAGUCUGUGAUAAAUGUUAAAAGAUAGAAUGAUAGGAUUAAGGGGACAGAGAUAAAGGGAGGGAAGAGAAGUGGACCUGAAAUAGGCUCAUGUUUACUCUCCCAGGCAUUUGAGCAACCAUACCUUCUUGGUUUGAUAGCUAUUUUAGAUUGUUGGUUGAGGGAGAAUAUUCUUGUUUUAGAAUGCCUUUUGUGGAUGGCCGCUUUUAGUGGGUAGUCUUUUUAAAUGUACCUGGUGAUGUUGUUAUGUGUUAUAUGCAUGUAUUUUACCGUACAUUUAUUGUAAGCUGUUUCAACAGUUCCUUGGUUGUGGGGUGUGAUCUUGGAUCCCCCUCAUCACUGCUGCCCCAGACAAAGUGAUCUAAAAGUGAAGGCCAGCUUAGGUUAAAUGAAGCACCAAAUAUCUUCAGUGCCCUGCCUCCAUUUUAUUCAACUUCUGAACACUUUAAAAGAAAUCCAUUUGUAGCUCAUUUCACACUAUUGACUUAAACAUUGUAAAUUAUAUGAAUGACUUAUUAUUGCUUAUCUUUGUGGUAUAAGGCAGUGGUGUUCAACCAGAAUGCCAUGGCACCCUGGGGUGCCUUGAAUUAUGGUCAGGGGUGCCGUGGGCAACAUUAGCCUCUGUACCUCUUUUCUUCCCUCCCUCCUGAUGCCCUCUCAUGUCUCUGCCUCCCCAAGGCUUGUACAGCUUUCUGUUGCAGCAGCCUGGGUAUAAGCUCGACAGGUGAAUGGUGCCUCUGGGGGCAUCUGUCUUUGGGGCGGCAGGGGGCGGGAAGCUCAGAGACAAAGGACGGCAGCAGCAGUUGCCCAGAAGACUCUCAAGGAGAGAGGAGAGGAAAGGAGGCUCGGGGAACACUCCACAAGGGAGAGUAUUCAAAAAAGAGUGAGAGGCUGCCAGCUCUGCAGGCAAGGGCUCUCUUCACAACUGGGCUCCUGAGCCCCACAGGGGUGCUGCAGAAAGAAUGUAGUUGGUUAAGGGAGCCAUGGAUUCAAAAAGGUUGAAAACCUUUGGUAUAAGGCAAUAAAUUUAUAGUAUAAUGCAAUAAACGUGCAUCACAAUCACUGACAUACACACUGUAAACUGAAUGGUUUCUGAUGUUACACAUUUUCCUCCAAGUAAAACAGCAACAAGCCCCUCAUAGUUAAUGGCCACACAAUUACCAUUCAAAAUGAAAUGUUUGUACUGUUUAUUUUAGUGGGGAGUGAAGCAAAUAGCCCAUGGUAUGUGUGGUUCCCUGGCUGUCAGAAUCCUGUCCAAAGGUACAUGAACAAGGCAUGAAGCCUAUAACUGAAUGGAAGCUUUGAAGAUAUCCCAACAGUUGAUACACCCUUCCUGCCAAGCUUUUAAAUACAAGGUGGGUGGAGCUCACUCACAAGAUUCUCACCCUACAGUUUUGCCAUGUGCACAUGUGCUGUCCAGAUGGGUGUGUCUGAUCCCAGCUAUGAAGAUGGUACCUGGAUCUCAUUCAUAGGACUGUGUCCCAUUCCUCUGCCUCCAGGUCCAUCACCACCACCUCCUAUUCAGCCCUCUCCCUCUGACUGGUUGAAGUCCUCAUCCCUACCUGAUGAGGCUCUGUGCUCUGCAAAAGGUUCUGUGGAGAGAGCUGACAGUUGAGCUUCCUUCUGUCCGAUACCUAGAGUCACAUGGGGAGAACCCCCCUCUUCAUACCUGCAUGCCAGCCACCAGCCCACCAUCUGCUGCUUCUCCUUCUUCCUCAUGCCAGAUUCCCGUAACACUAAGGGGCCCAUUACACUUGGUCACCUACACAUAGAUUCAGCCCUGGCUAAAGGUACCAACAAUCAUAUCAGGUCCCUAGCCUAGCAAUGGGAACCAUGCACACUGCCCAAAUGAUUCAGUGCAAGUUGGAUGCUCUGUUGUUCAAUUCAGCCAGAGGAUCUAUGCAGAGGAGCCUGCUUCCCUGAUGGGAUCAUGGAAAAUAUAUUCUAAUGCGCAUUAGCAUCACAACCCUUUGGUAGCUCCUCCUAUACGUCUCUCCCAAUUAGGGACCAGGGAGAAACUCACUUCAUUUUUUAAAUAAAAAAAAAAGAAAAUUAUAUUUUCAUUGAUAACAAAUGAAUAUUUCAAACACUAAAAAGUCAUUGUUGCAUGUUAAACCUUGACUAACCUCCCGCUCUUUCUGCAGUUCCU
RNAcentral lists this long non-coding RNA (5531 nucleotides) under Podarcis lilfordi (Lilford's wall lizard). The record is from RNAcentral. Lineage: Eukaryota; Metazoa; Chordata; Lepidosauria; Squamata; Lacertidae.